GAUGAACGCUGGCGGCGUGCCUAAUACAUGCAAGUCGAGCGAACAGAUGAGGAGCUUGCUCCUCUGACGUUAGCGGCGGACGGGUGAGUAACACGUGGAUAACCUACCUAUAAGACUGGGAUAACUUCGGGAAACCGGAGCUAAUACCGGAUAAUAUAUUGAACCGCAUGGUUCAAUAGUGAAAGACGGUUUUGCUGUCACUUAUAGAUGGAUCCGCGCCGCAUUAGCUAGUUGGUAAGGUAACGGCUUACCAAGGCAACGAUGCGUAGCCGACCUGAGAGGGGGAUCGGCCACACUGGAACUGAGAAACGGUCCAGAUCCCUACGGGAGGCAGCAGGGGGGAAACUUCCGCAAUGGGCGAAAGCCUGACGGAGCAACGCCGCGGGGGGGAUGAAGUUCUUCGGUUGGUAAAACUCUGUUAUUAGGGAAGAACAAAGGUGUAAGUAACUAUGCACGUCUUGACGGUACCAAAGAAGAAAGCCACGGCAAACUACGU
RNAcentral lists this ribosomal RNA (496 nucleotides) under uncultured bacterium. RNAcentral's name for it is "partial 16S ribosomal RNA". It matches the Rfam family "Bacterial small subunit ribosomal RNA", at positions 28 to 506 of the family's 1533-position model. The record is from RNAcentral.